Pezoporus occidentalis (night parrot) is the source of this 1855-nucleotide long non-coding RNA. RefSeq lists it as uncharacterized. The record is from RefSeq and is a predicted model, not a curated record. The transcript is spliced from 2 exons. NCBI's taxonomy places the organism in Eukaryota, Metazoa, Chordata, Aves, Psittaciformes, Psittacidae.
UGUUGGGGAAGCGGGUGUUAUCCUUCAGUGGUGCUUAGAGAAGACUGACUGCCCCAAGUGCUCCUCUUAAACUAAACUUCAUUUAAGCAUACCUUAACAAGCAUUCAUAGUGAGUGUAAUAUGAUAUAUAUGGGUGCUAGCUAAUGGUUAACCCACUCUGUUGAACCUGUGCUCCUCAUACAAACUCUUAUCAGUGUGGGAUGAGCUGUCUUAUUUCUGCAGAGAGGCAUUGCACAAGUUGGAGACUAAUGCUUUCUUAGGAGUAGAAGACAGCAGGAGGGCUUUCACUGCCGGCUCAAACAGGGAAGGGAAGGCAGGCAUCACGUUGCUAGAGCUGCUAUUUUCAAAUACAGACAGGAGGGAAGGAGGGUAGUGGGGUCUCUGAGUAUGUCCUGAAGUUCAUAGGGUGGCUGACCUCGACUCAGCUGUUACUUUGAUUUUGUAAGUGACUGUUGUGUGAACAGGUGCUCGAUGCAGUAUAAAGCUGCUCAGGAUAGUUGGCGUAACUUUGCUUUCAAGCUUUGACAAAGGGGAGAGAAAUAGGCAAGAUCAUACUUUAUGGAGGAGGUUACUGUGUGGAGAUACUCUGUAUGGUGAAUGAAGGGGCAAGAUAGUGCUGAAACUUAGAGCUUUCUGUGCAAGGCAAAAACCUGAUAGACCAGACUAGCUUUCCUCUCUUGAUGAAUUAAGCGACCUACCUCUGCAAACAAAUGAGAUUGUUAACUUUGAAUAAGGCCAUGGACUUAUAACUGUAUAGCACCUAUUGCUCACAGUAAAAGCUUCUGUUCAGGACAGAAGUUUAGAAUUUGAUGCAUUUAAGGUAUUUUUAUUGACCAGGUAAAAAUUCUUUGUUAAAACAUUGCUGGGCAUUCAACUCCCUCUUCCUUUAGGCUAUCCUUGCACUGGUGUAAGUACAUUUAAUUCAUUUAAGUUCCCUGUGACUUAGAGCAAAAAACAUAAAGUGAUGAGAGAAUUAAAAGAUAACUUUUAUGUUGUUUAUUAACAGCGUACUUUAUUUGGCUUUGGUUGCACAAAAGCUUUGUCAAUUAAGUUAAUAGUGAAUGUCACUUUCUGGUUAACAUGUUAUGGAAUCCUUUAGAGUACAUAAUAACUAUUAUAAGAAUCUUUCAUUCACGAACUAAAAUACGUACCCAUAAAUAUUUUCCUAAUUAUUUUUUAUUGUCAAAGAACAAAACCUUAAUUUGUAGCCCUUAAAAUAUGUUUUUCUUGACAGACUUACUCAUGCCUGAGUAUGGUUUGAUAUGAUAACUGAAUCCAUUUAUAAUGAUGAAUUAAAUAAAAAUGAAGAUAUUUUAAACAGAUCAGUGAAAUAUUGACAGAUCUGUAACAUGAAUGAUAUGGGUUUGUGAAUUCUCCAAUCGUGGGUAGAAAAAUCGUACUUGGGCAAUUUUUAUGAUUUAUUUCAUUAACUGGAGAAAGUUUAAGAUUAUAAAUAUUUUUUAAAUGAAUCUGAAAUUAGGAAUGUGGGAUGAGAAGCUGGUUUUGGACUCUGUGUUAAAAAUGCGUUAGCUAUUUUGCUGAGAAAUUCCUUUUAAGUAUAGCAAAGUUAAAAAUAUUUAUCUCCUUAAUACCUUUUUGGAUUAAAGUAGUAAAGUGUCAAAUGACUUUAUGAAUGCACACUUCAAGGUUGGGGUUUUUUGUUUUGCUUCAUUAACAUACAUUUUGUGGAGACUUUAUGAGUUCCAGUGCACCUUCCAAAAUUGACAGUGCCGGGGCUGGAUGGAAAGUUCAGACCAACUCUUGAACCUCCUCCUGUUGGUUCUACAGACUGUCUGGAGUGCAAAGGUUACGAACUGCUUGUAAACUAUCUCCAGAAUAAAAGCCUGUGUGCCAG